CAUACAUACCUCAAAUGUCAACAAGGAAAUACCUACACACCUAUUUGGAAUAAAUGGUCGGUUUGGUGCUCUAAGCUCAUUGACAUAUAUAUUACUGCUUCCUUCCUUUUGAAAUCAUUGUCUAAGCUACAUAUAAACAAGUUUAUUCCUUCGUCAGUAAUGGUCGCAAAAUAUUUAGCUUCUAUAUUUCUUAAUGAUGGUGUAGCGAGUCCGCGUUGUUCUAUGGUGUAGCUUAUCGAUCUGUUCUUGUUCAUAAAUCUGUAAUUUCUAUUAAAAAAUAUCACAGAAUCUGGUCUUAAAACACGUUUUAAAGGCUAUUUCAGUAGCAAAACCUGUGCCCAUGAAGCCACCCAUGUGGAAUGCACGUGUGCUCAUAGAAUAUCUACAGCAUUCUUCUCCGCUGGUAGAUAAAAUUUUUGGAGUAACUAAGAGAACAGCUACUUUACUCCUAUUAUACUCGGGGCGCAGGGUACAUGAUUUAACUUUGCUGCAUUGUGACAAUGAUCAUUUAAUUGACGAUGGUAAGAGUAUAGUCAUAGUUCCUGUGUUUGGUUCAAAACCAGAUACAAACUCAUAUCCACAGUCAGGUUAGAAGCUGCUAUCGAGGGCAGAUCAUAAUAUAGAUGUAUAUAAAAAAUAAAAAUAAAAAAAUCUGCUAAAUGAAUUAUUGUGUGAUAUACAUGCCUAAAUAGGUAUAUAAUUAUUCUAAGUUUGUUGUGAUUAGGUCUAUUAGGUUCAUGGCCAAUUUAUU
Plutella xylostella (diamondback moth) is the source of this 751-nucleotide non-coding RNA. The record is from RefSeq and is a predicted model, not a curated record. NCBI's taxonomy places the organism in Eukaryota, Metazoa, Arthropoda, Insecta, Lepidoptera, Plutellidae.